CCCUUAGAUGUUCUGGGCCGCACGCGCGCUACACUGACGAUGGCAACGAGUUUUUCCGUCGCCGAAAGGUGUGGGUAAUCUUUUGAAACAUCGUCGUGCUGGGGAUAGAUCAUUGCAAUUUUUGAUCUUGAACGAGGAAUUCCUAGUAAGCGCGAGUCAUCAGCUCGCGUUGAUUACGUCCCUGCCCUUUGUACACACCGCCCGUCGCUACUACCGAUUGAAUGGUUUAGUGAGGACUCCUGAUUGGCGCCGCCGCCCCGGCAACGGAGCAGCGGACUGCCGAAAAGUUGUUCAAACUUGAUCAUUUAGAGGAAGUAAAAGUCGUAACA
This 329-nucleotide ribosomal RNA is filed under the name uncultured eukaryote. RNAcentral's name for it is "partial 18S ribosomal RNA". It matches the Rfam family "Eukaryotic small subunit ribosomal RNA", at positions 1470 to 1796 of the family's 1831-position model. The record is from RNAcentral.